AUACGGAGGGUGCAAGCGUUAUCCGGAUUUAUUGGGUUUAAAGGGUGCGUAGGCGGUUUGAUAAGUCAGCGGUGAAAUAUUUCAGCUUAACUGGAAGGGGGCCGUUGAUACUGUCGAGCUUGAAUUUAGUUGCUGUGGGUGGAAUGUGUGGUGUAGCGGUGAAAUGCAUAGAUAUCACACAGAAUAUCGAUUGCGAAGGCAGCUCACAAAGCUAAUAUUGACGCUGAUGCACGAAAGUGUGGGGAUCAAACAGGAUUAGAUACCCUGGUAGUCCACACUGUAAACGAUGAUAACUCGCUGUCGGCGAUACAUAGUCGGUGGCCAAGCGAAAGCGAUAAGUUAUCCACCUGGGGAGUACGACCGCAAGGUUGAAACUCAAAUGAAUUGACGGGG
Molecule: ribosomal RNA, 393 nt
Filed under: uncultured bacterium
Lineage: Bacteria
Description: partial 16S ribosomal RNA
Rfam family: Bacterial small subunit ribosomal RNA
Source: RNAcentral